GAUGAAGAACGCAGUGAAAUGCGAUAAGUAAUGUGAAUUGCAGAAUUCAGUGAAUCAUCGAAUCUUUGAACGCACAUUGCGCCCGCCAGUAUUCUGGCGGGCAUGCCUGUUCGAGCGUCAUUUCAACCAUCAAGCCCCCGGGCUUGUGUUGGGGACCUGCGGCUGCCGCAGGCCCUGAAAAGCAGUGGCGGGCUCGCUGUCACACCGAGCGUAGUAGCAUACAUCUCGCUCUGGGCGUGCUGCGGGUUCCGGCCGUUAAACCACCUUUUAACCCAAGGUUGACCUCGGAUCAGGUAGGAAGACCCGCUGAACUUAAGCAUAACAAUAAGCGGAGGA
Molecule: unclassified non-coding RNA, 336 nt
Filed under: soil metagenome
Description: partial contains 5.8S ribosomal RNA, internal transcribed spacer 2, and large subunit ribosomal RNA
Rfam family: 5.8S ribosomal RNA (bases 1-120)
Source: RNAcentral